CGCUAAAGACCUCUGGUUUUUUCGUUCUUCGGAUCUCUCUCUCUUGCGCUCACUACACCCCCACCAUCAGCACUCAUCUCAAUAUCCCCCCCUAGCGCCGACUGGUUUUUGACAUCUAUCCCGAAAGACAUCCUGUGCUGUGUUAGUCGUGAAUAUUAUUACAGUUUUUUGCGGGCAACACGAUCAACGACUUGAAUUUUUUUUUGGUUCCAAGUUGAAAGUUUCUAGUUUCGAACGGGAAGAAAAGGAAAAAAAAAUCUGUUGGUAUUUUUACAACUGGAAAAAUGUGGACGCUUCAAAGGUCAACGGCUAACAACUCUCAAACGGCAGCCAAAGAGAGUUUGGCCAACAAAAGUUUCACCCUACAACGGUUCUCAAACGUACAGCGCGAUAAUUACCGCUCCGGGCCAACUACAGGACAGGACAUGGUUUCACGACGCCGCAUCUUGUCACGAUCCCGUGACGAUCUCCACUUGGACAACUUCCCUGAAGAGGAGGAUGACGUCUGGCACAUCAAGGAGAAACUCUACAAGGACCACAUCCAAGAGGUUUUGGACAAAUGGCAUCAAAUCGACGACGAGAUCUGGGCCAAGCUCAUCGUCAUGGAACGCAAUCGCCGUGUGGCCAAAGCGUACGCCCGGGCCAUCCCCAUUCAGAUUAACGGAAGCGACGAUGGUUUCGACGGAUUCCGGAUUGGAUUGAACGGAUUCGACAACCCGAUGCGUGACAACCGGACCGAGGAAGCCAAACGUCAGAUCGGCGAAGGCGCCAAGGUCCGCAUGGACGAGAAAGGAAACAUCCACAUCAAGCGCGUUUCCAAGAGUAACAUCUACAUCAAAAACACUUCGGAUGAGAACGGCAUCGGCAAUGAUAUCCUCAAGCUGCCGCAGGGAGCCCUGGAAUUCGGCAAAGGCUACCUGCUGUUCGACAUGAAGAAAUUCCAGCAGAACGUGUCCCGCGAACUGAAACGGGCCUAUCCCGAUCGCCGCAAACUGGAAAUGCAAUGCAUCACGGCCAUCGCCUUUGCCAAGAACGAUAUGGAGCUGCUCAACUGUCCCUGCUGGGUCAUGAUUGUCAACAUUGUGGCCAUGGAUAUGCUCAAAUCCAAGAUGCCACCCGUCAGCAAGCGCUCGGACAUUCGCAAUCGCCCGCGCAUUCCCAUUCCCGAUGAGGACCCGUACAGCGUGGCCGGCAGCGGCUCUAGCGGCAGCUCGUCGCACAAUGGCAACAGCAACAACGGCAACGGAACCAUACCGGCCAACUCGAACGCGGUCAUUGGCACUAAACGUGGCGACAAACCACCCAAACUACCACCUCGCGACAAUGGCAUUUACGGCUCAAACAUUCCAAAACCCGACUACGACGAAAUCGACGAGAAUGGAUACAAAGCCUUCGCUUCAACUCGGCCCAGCAAAGAGAAGCUGUUGUCGACCGACAAAAAAUACGACGAUCCUUACUACUGCGGUCUGCGUGCUCGCGUCUCCAACUUCGUGAAGAACAAGAACACCAAUGAGAAGCCGGUCAAAGAGCUCGGAACCGAGAUCAAAAUGAAGAUGACGCCACAUGUGGGCACAUACCAAGCUGCCCUGUCUCAUGGACACCCCAUGCAGACUCAUCAAAUGUGGCACUCGCGAAGCUUCGACAGCGGAAUGGACACGGCCACGACGAUCAAGACGUACAAGAAAGCUGUGGCAAACAUCCGCACCCUCAGCACGCCGUACAGCUAAAAACGAGAAGUCACUGACGCCACCAUAAAUAUCCUCCUCCUCCUACUCCUAUCCUUUUACUCCUCUUUACCCUUUUUUGAUUUUACCCUUUUUAUUUUUAUUCCAUUCCAAAAUUUUGUUCCUUGUUUUUUUCCCUUACGUUCACUUACCUUAUAUCCAAAAUGACGACAACAGACGACCGCAACCGAGAUGGCAACAUUUCCAACGAAACAGAGCUCACAGACUCGGCUUACUCCCGCAUCUACGGUCGCUUGCCGAUCCCGCGCAGCUAUGUCCCAAUUGCAGCGCCGUCGCGAGCGUCGUACUACGGGGAGUGGAAUUGAUGUCGUUCUGAGCGUCUUUGGUGAUGGGUGCCGUCAUCUCCCUACCGCGUUCAAGCCCGUCUUUAAAUAGUUGGAACGUAGUAGGGAUGUUGUCUGUGAAUGUACAUGACCGUUCUUAAUCUUUUUUUUUAAACCGUCAAUUUUUUUGCUAUAACUUGGACAUUUUUUUCCGUUUUGUUUGUUUUUCUUUUGUUUUCCGCUCGUUUUUAUUUUUCUUUGCAAGUGGGCCUUGGUCUGUCUCUUUUUUCUUUUCUUCAAAAUGUCUCUUCCUUUUUUAAAAAUGGUUCUUCCCAGUUUCACACAGUCUAGAUUAUUUUGUAAGUAUCGAAAUAUUAGUGAGAAAAGCAGACUUGGACAGUUGACCACAUCUGAGCUCUUUCGCUUUUCCUUGUAGAAAGAGUGUAAACCAAACUGUGUGCUAGGAAAACUUUUGUGUGUGCAUGUACGCUCUUCUUUUUUUUUUUAAUUUUCAUUAUUAUUCCUUGUAUGCGUGAGUGUGUGCGUGUGAAUUCGGGUGGCACCGGGUCGUUGGGUGACCUAUAUAAUAAAGAGACCAUUGGACAACAUGUCAAAAAAGCUUCUGUAGCCGAAACAUCCACGAGAGAAUUUAUUUAAUUUUUCAAUCAUAAAAAACAAGGACGAUCAAGAUUUUUUUCUUUUCUUUCCUCUUUUUUUAUUUUUUACUCAGAAAAAAAAAGAAAUUUGUGCAUAAGUGAUUAUUCCAAUUGUUCUAAAUUCUCUCUUUCCACACUUUUUGUAGAAAACGACCUUUCUUUUGUUUUCGUUAUUUUCUGAAUAGCGUAAUCAGAUAAGGUCUUCUUGCGUUUUAAUUUCUUUUCGUUUCCUGUCUCGUUUUGUGUAUUGAGAUGACUGUAUUGGCGUCCCGAAAAUUCGUCCAUCCAACCGUCUCUGUUCUCUGUAAUAUUUUUCUUCCAAUAAGGGCUGGGUUUUUUUAUUUGGAUCGCAUGAGCGGGUUUUACGUUCAUGUGUUUCCACAACGUUGUGUAUUGUAAAUACUGAAAGAAUUUUCCCCUUUUGCUCUGGCCCUCUUUGCAAUUAAUAAAUAUACGGUUGACGGCUUUCCCUUUA
Molecule: unclassified non-coding RNA, 3139 nt
Filed under: Daphnia pulicaria
Lineage: Eukaryota; Metazoa; Arthropoda; Branchiopoda; Diplostraca; Daphniidae
Description: uncharacterized LOC124337496, transcript variant X3
Source: RNAcentral